GACGAACGCUGGCGGCGUGCCUAAUACAUGCAAGUAGAACGCUGAAGAGAGGAGCUUACUCUUCUUGGAUGAGUUGCGAACGGGUGAGUAACGCGUAGGUAACCUGCCUUGUAGCGGGGGAUAACUAUUGGAAACGAUAGCUAAUACCGCAUAACAAUGGAUGACACAUGUCAUUUAUUUGAAAGGGGCAAUUGCUCCACUACAAGAUGGACCUGCGUUGUAUUAGCUAGUAGGUGAGGUAAUGGCUCACCUAGGCGACGAUACAUAGCCGACCUGAGAGGGGGAUCGGCCACACUGGGACUGAGACACGGCCCAGACUCCUACGGGAGGCAGCAGUAGGGAAUCUUCGGCAAUGGGGGCAACCCUGACCGAGCAACGCCGCGUGAGUGAAGAAGGUUUUCGGAUCGUAAAGCUCUGUUGUAAGUCAAGAACGGGGGUGAGAGUGGAAAGUUCACACUGUGACGGUAGCUUACCAGAAAGGGACGGCUAACUACGUG
RNAcentral lists this ribosomal RNA (497 nucleotides) under uncultured bacterium. Its description in RNAcentral is "partial 16S ribosomal RNA". It matches the Rfam family "Bacterial small subunit ribosomal RNA", at positions 28 to 507 of the family's 1533-position model. The record is from RNAcentral.